Dalotia coriaria is the source of this 2056-nucleotide long non-coding RNA. RefSeq lists it as uncharacterized. NCBI's taxonomy places the organism in Eukaryota, Metazoa, Arthropoda, Insecta, Coleoptera, Staphylinidae. The record is from RefSeq and is a predicted model, not a curated record. The transcript is spliced from 7 exons.
AUUCUGUGGACAGUGUGUAUAUUUUGAAUGUGUGGUGUGUGUUGGGUUGCAUAUAGUGAAUGCAUGAGUGAGCAUAAAAUUGACGCGUGAGGAGCAGAGUAGUAACCUUGGUGUUGGAGUGCGCGUCGUUUGAAUUUCAUCUUUAUUUCAAUCCAGUUUGAUGGGUGUUAUCUGCUUACCUGAUGCAAACCGCAGGCAUAACAUGCACAUCAAAACUGGCAAUUCGCGCAGUUUGUCCAGGCGGUCCAUUUUGCCACCUCGUGUUGGGAGAUAUCUUGCUUCCGCUUGAAGAUUACACACCAAGAGGACCAACCCUACGACGAGCAGGAUUUUGGUAACGCAGUUUGCGGGAUGUUUUCUCGUCGGUAUGUUGUCGUGGACUGUCGGGGUGGUAUUUAUAUCGUCGAGGGUUUUAUAAUCCUAGAAAUGUGGAAAUGGCAGUGAAAAAGAUGAGCGCGCAAGAUUCGGGGAUGGUUUUCCCUCUUCCAUGGGGAUGAAAUCAGCGUGGGCGUGCGGAAUGCCGAGUGGGGAUGUUUUCUGUUUCUACUUGCAUUUGAGCCAAAAUGAAUGUCAACAAACGUGCCAAGAUUUUACGAUUGCGAUGCCGUUGAGAUGAACUCAAACAUGAUGAGGAUUAUCGACUGAUGGCGAUAUUAUUGCCAAUGAUUUGCAAUAAUAUACGCGUAGUUAUUGGUUGCAAAUGGCGCUAAACAACGAAUACUAGAGAAGACGGGAUUAGAAGGGAUACUUUUGAAUUCAUGGAACCCACGGACAUUAUUAUUGUGCAGGGCACAGUUUGCAUAAUGGAUUACGUUUUGGAUCUCUCAUUGGAAGGGCUGCGGUAUUUCCAAGGAAAGCCUGGGACAAACUUCAACUUCAAUCACCGCCAACUUGCGCUUUUUGAUCGAUUUGGUCUUUAAUUUUGGUUAUUGUAUGAACGAAUAGUUGCGGAUACUUUGCGGUUUUUAUUUGACUUUUCAAGGGGCCAGAAAUGUUUUGAAAACUCCCUUAAACUUAAUAUUUAUGUUUUGAGUAAUUUUUACUAGGUGGAAAUCACCCUGUAUUGUGUAUUAUUAUGUUCAGAUUUUGUUAAUACUUUUAAGCUAUGUUGCGGAAGCACUCCAUCACAGAAUGCAUACCCUAUCCACUCCCUAAGCCCUUUGGACGUGCCCUAGAAGUCCCUUCAAAGGUUGCUAUUCUUUGAAAUUUUCUAAAAGUUGUCGUGGAAAACACCCCGUAUAUCCUGAAAAAAUAAUGCAAUUUGGGGUUUUCAUGCGUCAACUUAUAGAUGAAGAGUGCCUCUACAAAAUGAGUACCAAAUUCAGCCUCUAAACCCAUAGGAAGUGCCCUAAAAAUCCCUUCAAAAGUUGUCAUUUCUUGAAAUGUUCUAAAAGUUGUCGUGGAAAACACCCCGUAUCUCCUGUAAAAAUAAUAUAAUUUGGGGUUUUCCCGCGUCAACUUAUAGAGGAAGAGUGCCUCUACAAAAUGAGUUCCAAAUUCACCCUCUAAACCCAUGGGAAGGGCCCUAAAAAUCCCUUCAAAUGUUGCCAUUUCUUGAAAUUUUCUAAAAGUUGUCGUGGAAAACACCCCGUAUCUCCUGUAAAAAUAAUGCAAUUUGGGGUUUUCCCGCGUCAACUUAUAGAUGAAGAGUGCCUCUACAAAAUGAGUACCAAAUUCACCCUCUAAACCCAUGGGAAGUGCCCUAAAAAUCCCUUCAAAAGUUGUCAUUUUUUGAAAAUUUCUAAAAGUUGUGGUGGAAAACACCCCGUAUCUCCUGUAAAAAUAAUGCAAUUUGGGGUUUUCCUCCGUCAACUUAUAGAUGAAGAGUGCCGCUACAAAAUGAGUACUCAAACUUCCCUCUAAACCCUUGCGAAGUGCCCUAAAAUGACCACGGAAAAUGACUGAUUUUUUACUAUAUUUUUCAGAUUUUUGUUAAAAGGCUGACUCCAUUUUGUAUUAUAAUUAUCUUUAGUCGAAUUACAAAGCCAAAUAUGUAAUUUUUAAUUGUUAUAAUAAUAUUUUUGUUAGAAAGCAAUAAAAAAAUUCUUGGAUUUUA